Molecule: ribosomal RNA, 253 nt
Filed under: uncultured bacterium
Lineage: Bacteria
Description: partial 16S ribosomal RNA
Rfam family: Bacterial small subunit ribosomal RNA
Source: RNAcentral
UACAGAGGUCUCAAGCGUUGUUCGGAAUUACUGGGCGUAAAGGGCGCGUAGGCGGCCUGUUAAGUCGAACGUGAAAUCCCCGGGCUCAACCCGGGAACUGCGUCCGAUACUGGCAGGCUUGAAUCCGGGAGAGGGAUGCGGAAUUCCAGGUGUAGCGGUGAAAUGCGUAGAUAUCUGGAGGAACACCGGUGGCGAAGACGGCAUCCUGGACCGGCAUUGACGCUGAGGCGCGAAAGCCAGGGGAGCAAACGGG